This 504-nucleotide ribosomal RNA is filed under the name Micraspis discolor. Its description in RNAcentral is "partial large subunit ribosomal RNA". The stretch from base 378 to 504 matches the Rfam family "Archaeal large subunit ribosomal RNA", at positions 2542 to 2669 of the family's 2987-position model. The record is from RNAcentral. Lineage: Eukaryota; Metazoa; Arthropoda; Insecta; Coleoptera; Coccinellidae.
UUUUUGAUUAUAAUUUAAAGUAGGGCCUGCCCACUGAGAUUUUAAAGGGCCGCAGUAUCUUGACUGUGCAAAGGUAGCAUAAUCAUUAGUUUUUUAAUUGAAAGCUGGAAUGAAUGGUUUGAUGAAAAAAUAACUUUCUUUAUUUUAUUAAGAUAAUUUUAUUUUUAAGUUAAAAAGCUUAAAUAUUUAUAAAAGACGAGAAGACCCUAUAGAGUUUUAUUAUUAGAAAUUUAUUAAUUUAGGAAUUUAGUUUAAUAAUUUUUUAUAUAAUUUGAUUGGGGUGAUUAAAAAAUUUGAUUAACUUUUUUUAUUUUUAAACAUUGAUGUAUGAAUUUUUGAUCCAUUUUUAUUUGAUUAUAAGAAUAAAUUACCUUAGGGAUAACAGCGUUAUUUUCUUUUAGAGUUCAAAUCGAAAGGAAAGAUUGCGACCUCGAUGUUGGAUUAAAAUUAAUUUUAGGUGUAGGAGCUUAAAAAUUAGGUCUGUUCGACCUUUAAAAUUUUACA